This 1492-nucleotide long non-coding RNA is filed under the name Equus caballus (horse). RNAcentral's name for it is "5-hydroxytryptamine receptor 1B (ENSECAG00000000649.3)". Lineage: Eukaryota; Metazoa; Chordata; Mammalia; Perissodactyla; Equidae. The record is from RNAcentral.
UCUGUUUCAAAAUCCGGGAGCGGGCUUCCACAUAGAUGCGGCUGUAGAGGGCGAUGAGGAGCAAGGUGGGGAAGUAGAAAGCGCCCACCGUGGAGUAGACCGUGUAGAGGAUGUGGUCGGUGUUCACCAAACAGUCCAACACUUCUUCCUCGGCUUUGGCCUGGCGCCAAAAGAAGGGCGGCAGCGAGAUGGAGAUGGAGAAGACCCACACCAGCGCGAUCAUGACUGCCGCCCUCUUGGGAGUCCUUUUAGCUGAGUACUCCACGGCGUCCGUGAUGGCCCAGUAGCGGUCCAGGGCGAUGACACAGAGGUGCAGGAUGGAAGCAGUGCAACAGGUGAUAUCAGACGACAGCCAGAAGUCGCAGACCACCUGGCCCAGCGUCCAGCGGCCGGUGACCACAUACAUGGUGCUGAUGGGCAUCACCAGGAUGGAUACGAGCAGUCUCCCUCUAGCGCCCUCUACUGUCAGCUUAACAGGGAGAGAGCUGGCAAGGCGGAGAUGUUCCCAGAGUCCCAGCCGCCGCAUGACGCAGCAGAAUGUUGAAGCGCGUGGGUUUGAGAUUGGUUAUGGAUUAUUUUCGUUGACAAUUGUCUGCUCUGUAAACUCAGCUGAAGCUGGACAACUCUGGGAAGACGGAGCUGUUUGCAUCCUUAUACCCAAGAGAGUGAUCCUCAAGAUCUGGACUGCGAAGACUUGACAGUGUGAGGCAUCAGACCAUUUAGAGAAACCCAUUAUGUGCAAUUUGUUCCAAUUAAUAUGAAAGCUUACAUUUCUCCAAAAGCAUCUCCUAGGGAAAUGAAUCUCCCAUGUGAAAGGUGCUCUCCCGGCAUCCUUACCCCCAGAGCUGAGACGGAAUAGGGACGGGACUCCGGCCUUCAUCCUCAGCCGGCACCUCCCAGCCCAGCUAGUUUUGAAGUCAAGAUGAGUAACCUUCCAACGCACAACUUCCCGCCAGCAAUUGAACCGACUCCCGCAUGCGCCCAAAGCCUCGAGAUGCCCACUGUACGACCUUCCCGCAGCGGGAAUAGCGAGCAACACCGCCAGGUUGGACCAACUGGGCAGGUGCGGGGACCACAACUGCCCGGCGUGCGAAGAGGAUGCUACCAGGAAAAGGGAAGCGGAACACCUCUGGUGCAAGAGAAUCAUGAAGCCAGUGCUCUCCCUUCAGCCCUUAAAAGACUCAAGACGGCCCUCUUCAGGAAGCCAGCCAGAGAGCCUCUUCUCCCGCGCUGUCUCCCUAGUGCUCCAGCAUAAGCCCCGAUGAAACCUUGGCUCAGGCUUUGGCUGUGCCUCUUGUCAAUUUCUAUUACUCAGAGAGCCUAAGAACCCAGGGUCUGUGUCAGAGCUAGGGACUUCCCGGCUGAGAAGCCUGCGUAAACAAACUUAGUUAAUUUACUCUAAACUCUGUUUAAAUUCCUCACAAAAUACGUACCCCAAACCUAUUUCUUUGUCUUCUCAAUUCCUCAGAAAUUUAUUGUUUCUUUACGUAAA